ACGCUCGACACCUACGGGGGGCAGCAGUGGGGAAUAUUGCACAAUGGGGGAAACCCUGAUGCAGCGACGCCGCGUGAGCGAAGAAGUAUUUCGGUAUGUAAAGCUCUAUCAGCAGGGAAGAAGAAAGACGGUACCUGACUAAGAAGCCCCGGCUAACUACGUGCCAGCAGCCGCGGUAAUCUGAGCGGGCUGGCAAGGC
Molecule: ribosomal RNA, 199 nt
Filed under: uncultured bacterium
Lineage: Bacteria
Description: partial 16S ribosomal RNA
Rfam family: Bacterial small subunit ribosomal RNA
Source: RNAcentral